GGCUGGUUACCAAGGUUACCGCCGAGAGGCCGCGUCCUCAGCUGGUCCUAGACAUGCGUGGCGUCGGGGCUGUGGCACGGUCGGGUCCGGGCUUGAAUGCACCAAGGAAAGGCCAUUUGUGGGGACAUAGCAAGAAGGCAGCUGUCUGCAAGCCAGGAGGAGAACCCUCACCAGAAACCUCACAGAAAUCGGCCAACACCCUCAUCUCGGGCUUCCAGCUUCAGAACAACGAGAAAACAAAUUUCUGUUGUGUCCUGGUUCCCAUUUGUAAUUGGCACCCUAAUGAAACCGUUUUCUGUAGCCCUGGAAAUGGCUGAAAAUGAGGGGAGGGAAAUAAAGUGCUAUAAUUCAGAGCAUGGAGCACACCUUCCUGGUUCACCUGAGCUGGAUUCGGAGAGGUAAAAUGGCCAUUACCUCGUCUAAGCUGCCACUUACAGACACAGUACAGGAUGAGGCCCAGACCCACAGAGACAACGAUGAUGGCCACAGCUAAGAUGAUCCAGAAAUUAUUCCUCCACCAGCUCAUUGCAGUGGAAUCCUGAGAAGAAUGGAGAGAGAAGAAUGAGCUUCUUGCAUGACUGCCUGAAAUCCGCCUCCUGUCAGAUCAGCAGGGGCAUUGGAUUAUGAUAGGAGUGAGAACACCAUUGUGGACUGCGCAUGCCAGGGAUCUAGGUUCCGCGCUCCUUAUGAGAAUCUGAUGCCUGAUGAUCUGUCACUGUCUCCCAUCACCCCCAGAUGGGACUGUCUAGUUGAAGAAAAACAAGUUCAGGGCUCCCACUGAUGCUACGUUACGGUGAGUUGUAUAAUUAUUUCAUUAUAAUUACAAUGUAAUGAUAAUAGAAAUAAAGGGCACAAUAAAUAUAAUGAGCUUGAAUGAUCCUGAAACCAUACUCUGCUGCUCCAUGGAAAAAUUGUCUUCCAUGAAAUCAGUCCCUGGUGCCACAAAACUAGUCCCCGAUGCUGCCCUAGAGUUUAUAUACUGCACAGCUUUCUGACGAAACACAAACUUCCCUCUCUAUGAGAGAUGGCUGAGGCUGAGAAAUUCGAAAGAAGAUCAGGUCAGUAGACCUUUUUUUUUUUUUUUUCAGACAGAGUCUCACCCUGUCGCCCAGGCUAGAGUGCAGUGGUGAGAUCUCAGCUCACUGCAACCUCCGCCUCCUGUGUUCAAGCGAUUCUCCAGCCUCAGCCUCCCAAGUAGCUGGGACUACAGGUGUGUGCCACCACGCCUGGCUAAUAUUUUUGUAUUUUUAGUAGAGACAGGGAGGGUUUCACCAUAUUGGCCAGGAUGGUCUCGAUCUCCUGACCUUGUGAUCUGCCUGCCUCCCAAAGUGCUGGGAUUACAGGUGUGAGGCACUGCUCACACCCUUUUUUUUUUUUUUUUUUUUUUUUUUUUUUUUUUUUGUGAUGGUCUCACUCUGUUGCCCAGGCUGUGGAGUGGCAUGAUCAUGGUUCACUACAGCCUCAAACUCCUGGCCUCAAAUGAGCCUCCCACCAUAGCCUCCCAAUAGCUGGGACUAUAGCCAUGAGCCACCCUGCCUGGCCAGGUCAGUAGAACUUCUGAGAGAAAAGGGGCUUCAGGAGCAGUUUGUAGACCAAGAACAAGAGCCCUCAUAUUUCUGAGAGAUACUAGAGCUUCCGCUGCUAGAUUGUUACCUAUAACCUGGGUUUCCUGCUGAAUUUGGCAAUGAACCUCUUUGAUGUGAUAGAUCUCAGGGCUUGCGUCAGGGACAGCCAGGAAGGGAGGAGGCAGAAAGCAAGGCUGGAUCCCAGAGACUCUGUGGGCAAGAAGCCUCUCAAAGCCACAAGGCAGGGCCCCCGUAGAGCGGGAGCAGCCUUUGAUAUUCUCCAGGCCAGGGAGGCCUUUGCAUUCCAGAACUGAACCGGAAAAGACAAGGUUACCUCAAAGGAGUCCCAGGGAUUCCCUAAAGAAGGACUCUGGGGAGUCUGUGAGGGAAUUCCAGCUGCGUGGGGGCAUCCUGGAGCCCUCACGAAAAAAGGUGUGGGGAGCUCUGCCCACGGUCUCUGCCCUGUCACUCCCAAAGCUGAGUGGGGAGAAGAACCCACUUCAAUCGGGCGCGGUGGCUCACGCCUGUAGUCCCAGCACUUCGGGAGGCCGAGGCGGGUGGAUCACGAGGUCAGGAGUUCAAGACCAGCCUGGCCAAUAUGGUGAAACCCUGUCUCUACUAAAAAAAAUACAAAAAUUAGCUGGGCGUGGAGGCGCGCGUCUGUAAUCCCAACUACUCGGGAGGCUGAGGCAGGAGAAUCGCUUGAAUCCAGGAGGCGGAGUUUGCAGUGAGCCGAGAUCGCACCACUGCAUUCCAGCCCGGGGGACAGAGCGAGACUCCGUCUCAAAAAAAAAAAAAAAAAAAGUACACACUUCAGUACCCACUGAACUGAAGAGAGUUUCAAAAAGUUACAGCCUGGCUGGUGCUGCCAAACCCUGCCUCUACCUUCAUCCAGACUCGUCCUGGGAUGCUCAGUAGAUAUUAUAAAUUGCCAAAAGGUUGGAAACAUUCUCACUUCUACCACCAGAUGGCGGCCAUCAUCCCUUCAUCGGCUAAUUGUUAAACCAGACAAGAAGCCCUUAUACCCGCAUCUCACACCCAUUAGGAUGGCUACUAGACAUACACACACACACACACACACACAGAGAGAGAGAGAGAGAGAGAGAAAGAGAAAGAGAAGAGAGAGAGAGAGAGAGAGAGACAAAGAAUCUGCCUGUGCACUCUUGGUGGGCAUGUAAGAUGGCACAACUGCUAUGGAAAACAGUAUGGAAGUUCCUCAAAAAUUAAGAUUCCAUGUGAUCCAGCAGCAAUUCCACUUCUGGGUCUGUACUCCAAAGAAUUGAAAGCAGGAGCUCAAAGAGAUAUUUGUACAUCCAUGUUCAUAGCAGUGUUAUUCACAAUAGCCAAAAUGUGGAAGCAACCCAAGUAUCCACCAAUGAAUGAAUGGAGACACAAAAUGUGGUUAUAGAAAUACAAUGGAGGCCCGGCGCCGUGGCUCACACCUGUAAUCCCAGCACUUUGGGAAGCCGAGGCAGGUGGAUCACCUGAGGUCAGGAGUUCCAGACCAGCCUGGUCAACAUGGUGAAACCUCGUCUCUACUAAAAAUACAAAAAUUAGCCUGGCUUGGUGGUGGGCGCCUGUAAUUCCAGCUACUUGGGAGGCCGAGGCAGGAGAAUCGCUUGAACCCAGGAGGCAGAGCUUGCGGUGAGCCGAGAUCGCGCCACUGUACUCCAGCCUGGGUGACAGAGUGAGAUUCCAUCUCAAUUAAAAAAAAAAUACAGUGGAAUAUUAUUCAGCCUUAAUAAGAGAGGAAGUUCUGGUACAUGCGACACCAGGAAUGAAUCUGGAGGAUGCAAUACUAAAGUGAAGCAAGCCAGACAUAAAAAAUAAACAUUGUGCCUGAGCGCGGUGGCUCACGCCUGUAAUCCCAGCACUCUGGGAGGCCGAAGCAGGCAGAUCACUUGAGGUCAGGAGUUUGAGACCAGCCUGGUCAACAUGGUGAAACCCCGUCUCUACUAAAAAUACAAAAAUUAGCUGGGCAUGGUGGUGCAUGCCUGUAAUCCCAGCUACUCAGGAGUCUGAGGCAGGAGAAUCACUUGAACCCGGGAGGCAGAAGUUGCAGUGAGCUGAGAUCGUGCCACUACACUCCAACCUGGGUGACAGAGCGAGAUUCUGUCUUUAAAAAAAAAAAAUUGUAUGAUUCCACUUAUAUUGAGGUACCUAAAAUUGGCAAAUUCAUACAAAGAGAAAGUAGAAUGAUGGUUGCCAAGUGCUGGCGGAAGGGGAAAAAAAUUCGUUGGUAAAAUUGGAAUCAUAUUUCACACAUCAAAACUAAUUCCAGAUUUUAGUUAAAAUUUAAAUGUAAAAAAAUAAAACAAAUAUUCUUAAAUAUUCAUGUCAUGAAUAGUAAAUAUAAUUUGUCUUCUUUAUGAUUUUCUUUUUUCUUUUUCUUUCUUUCUUUUUUUUUUUUUGAGAGAGUUUCGCUCUUGUUGCCUCAGGCUGGAGUGCAAUGGCGUGAUCUCAGCUGACUGUAACCUCUGCCUCCCGGGUUCAAGUGAUUCUCCUGCCUCAGCCUCCUGAGUAGCUGGGAUUACAGGCAUGCGCCACCGCACCCGGCUAAUUUUGUAUUUUUAGUAGAGAUGGGGUUUCUCCAUGUUGGUCAGGCUGGUCUCGAACUCCCGACCUCAGGUGAUCCACCCACAUCGGCCUCCUAAAGUGCUAAGUGCUAGGAUUACAGGUAUGAUGAGCCAUUGCACCUGGCCUUUUUUUUUUUUUUUUUUUUGAGACGGAAUCUUGCUGUGUCGCUCAGGCUGGAGUACAGUGGUGCAAUCUCUGCCCACUGCAACCUCUGCCUCCCAGGUUCAAGCAAUUCUCCUGCCUCUGCCUCCCAAAUAGCUUGGAUUACAGGAGCCCACCACCAUGUCCGACUAAUUUUUGUAUUUUUGGUAGAGAUGGAGUUUUGCCAUGUUGGUCAGGUGGUCUCGAAUUCCUGGCCUCAAGUAAUCUGCCUGCCUCAGCCUCCCAAAGUGCUGGGAUUAGAGGUGUGAGCCACUGCACCUGGCCUAUGAUUUUCUUAAUAACAUUUUCUUUUCUCUAUCUUACUUUACUGUAAGAAUACAGUAUAUAAUACAUAUAACA
Molecule: long non-coding RNA, 4643 nt
Filed under: Homo sapiens (human)
Lineage: Eukaryota; Metazoa; Chordata; Mammalia; Primates; Hominidae
Description: HSALNT0388190
Source: RNAcentral